UACAGGGGGUGCAAGCGUUAUUCGGAAUUAUUGGGCGUAAAGCGCGCGUAGGCCGCUUGGUAAGUUUGGUGUGAAAGCCCCGAACUCAAUUCGGGAAGUGCAUUGAAUACUGCCAAGCUGGAGUACUGGAGAGGAGAGUGGAAUUCCUGGUGUAGAGGUGAAAUUCGUAGAUAUCAGGAGGAACAACAGCAGCGAAGGCGGCUCUCUGGACAGUCACUGACGCUGAGGCGCGAAAGCGUGGGGAGCAAACAGG
Molecule: ribosomal RNA, 253 nt
Filed under: uncultured bacterium
Lineage: Bacteria
Description: partial 16S ribosomal RNA
Rfam family: Bacterial small subunit ribosomal RNA
Source: RNAcentral